CAUUCAGAGCAUUUCCAUAGAGUCACUUUGCAUCAGCAGCUCCAUGCUCCAGUGCUCUGGGAGAGUUUAUAGUCCUGACAGUUGAACACUGGAUGACUGACAGCUGUCCUUCAUCACAACUGAAGACACAGAAAUCCUCCUCAUCAAAAACAUGACUUUGAUCUGCAUCCUCAUCUGGACUCUCCUCUGCUGCUGCUUCACAGAGGUCAGAGGUCAGGCCACAGUGACUCAACAGCCUGCAGCAAUGAGAGUUGAUUUGGGAGGAUCUAUCACCAUCAGAUGUAAAACUAGUCAGAAUAUUUAUAGCAACAAUUUCUCCUGGUACGAACAGAAUAUGGACAAACUCCUAAGCUCCUCAUUUAUUAUAUCAGCUCUCAAGCAUCAGGGACUCCAGGUCGUUUUACAGGCAGUGGAUCAAACUCUGACUUCACUCUGACCAUCAGUGAAGUUGAGGCUGAAGAUGCUGCAGUUUAUUACUGUAUGGGUGAAUUCUACAUCAACAGCAAGUUUUCAUUCACACAGUGAAAAACAGUCGUACAAAAACCUCCAACAUUCAGACCCAACAGAAACUGAACUGUGUUGCAUCUGGAAGUUCCAGUUGGUUAACCAAACACAGA
Molecule: non-coding RNA, 617 nt
Organism: Gambusia affinis (western mosquitofish)
Lineage: Eukaryota; Metazoa; Chordata; Actinopteri; Cyprinodontiformes; Poeciliidae
Source: the annotation of a RefSeq genome assembly